AUUUUGCAAAAACUUGGAUCUAAUACAUAUUUACUUAACUUACCUAAGGAUAUGAAUAUUAGUCUGUUUUCAAUGUGGAUGAUUUGUCACCUUAUCGAGGCACCUUUGAGCCUUCUUUGCAUUCUAGUGUUUUUGAGGUUAGCUUGUGCCAAAGUCACCAUCAUUUCCUCAGUCUAAUGAUGUCAUUGACACUGUGUUUGAUGAUGAGUUCGUUCCUUCCUUACAAGGUGGAUUUUGUAGAUUUUUUGUCAAGUGGCAAAGUCAUCCUGAUUCUAAUGCUACUUAGAUCACACAAGAAGAAUUUCAGACUUUGGAUCCUUCUCUCGAAUGCUUAUUUGCAAA
RNAcentral lists this unclassified non-coding RNA (342 nucleotides) under Hevea brasiliensis (rubber tree). Lineage: Eukaryota; Viridiplantae; Streptophyta; Magnoliopsida; Malpighiales; Euphorbiaceae. The record is from RNAcentral.